AUUAAGUACUAUGAAACUAUGUAGUUAUGCUUUAAGUAAGUGCUUAUUUAUUAUGCCUAUUGAUAAUUGAAAUUUUGAACUGCUUUUGUUAUGGUCCUAGCGUUGAAGAGGCAAAGAAAAAAAUUUAUGCUUGUAGCACGACGACUUAUCAGGGAUUUCAGGUUGAGUGCUCAGAGGAAACUUCAAAAAAGUUUGAAGGUUAGUUUAUGUGUUAUAGAUUGCUGUAUAAAGGUUAAUUUUAGUUACUGAAGUUUUAUUUUUUUUAAUAAUCUUUCUGCAAACAGGUCUACCUGGUGUUGUAUUUAUCUUGCCUGAUUCCUAUAUUGAUCCAGUUAACAAACAAUACGGAGGUAUGUAAUUCAGCAUCAUCUAUUAUACAUUUGUGUCCUUAUUUUUGUUUCUUUCUUAAACUUGAAUAUGACAUAUUUUUUCAUGUAUAUUUAAUGCAUUUAUACUUGCUUGAGUUUUGAAAUGGCAGGAGAUAAAUACGAUAAUGGCUUUAUAACACCUAGACCGCCUCCUACGCAAUAUGGAAGGACAGGAGGACGGUUUGGUGAUCGAAAUAGAGACUCCAACCGGCCAAUGCGUCCACGAGGCGAAUUCAACCAAGGAAAUCCGGCAUAUGACAACCGAAGUAACACAGUAGGGAGUGCAGGGAACUUUGGGCCAACACAGCAUCCUCCACCACAGCAGAAUUAUGGUCCUCCUGGAGUUGCCCCGAUGAAUAAUUCUGCUGGAGGACAAGAAAAUUAUCAGGGAUACAGGAGAGAUCAAAUGUCCCCUAAUCAAGGAAAUUACAAUCAAGGUCAGAGAGGAAAUUUAUAUCCUCAAGGACCAAGUGUGCCACCGGUAAACCUCAAUAACAAUGCACCCCCACCCCAACCCCCACAAAGUGGAAACUUUAGUCAAGGUGUUCCUGGUCAGCCACCAGUAAACUUUAAUAACAAUGCACCCCCACCCCAAUCCCCACAAAGUGGAAACUUUGGUCGAGGGGCCCCUGGAAGUUACAAUCAAGGGGCUCCUGGCAGUUACAAUCAAGGAGCUCCUGGCAGUUAUGGUCAAGGCGCUCCUGGCAGUUACGGUCAAGGCGCUCCUGGCAGUUACGGUCAAGGCGCUCCUGGCAAUUACAGUCAAGGCGCUCCUGGCAGUUACAGGCAGGUUGCUCCUAGCAGUUAUGGGCAGGGCUCUCCAGGAAGUUACGUGCAGGGCGCUGCUGGAAGUUACACGCAGGGCGCUUCUGGCAAUCAUAGGCAAGGCGCGAGUGGCUAUGAGCAAGAUGCAGGAAAUUAUGGGCAAGGUGGAGGUGGCUAUUUUGGGCAAGCAGCUGCUGGUAGCCUUGGGCACGGUGGUGGUGGCCAGGAAAAGUUCCCUAACUUUGGGCGCCCUGAUUCAGUACACGAAGAAAAUCAAAGGUUCUCACAAGGAGAGCAGAUGGAUGGCAUGAGGCAGGUGCCGAAAUAGGUACUUGGGAAGUGGAAUCAGGUACUGGACAUGAAAUUAGUAGCCUUUCAUUUCUAAUAACUCUAUGGUCCUCGUAUGAGCUGAUGUUAGCAUAUUAUCAAUGUCAUCAGGCCAAAACCCUUGGCAGCUUAUAUCUAAUAGCUAUCAGGUUUACACCCGCAGUCUGCACAUUACAUUUCUGAUACAUGAUCAGUCAAAAACCCUGAAAAACUUAUUUCAGUGCUCUUCUGUUAGCUCUUAAACAUAUUAACUUGUACAGAGAUGUUUUGCUAUUACUUUCCAUCUUAAAGAAGAUCUGAUGAUGUCGCAAAGGCCAAAGUUUAAACAUAUGGUCAAUGGUCAAUCUAAUCUGGUAACGAGAUCAUUAAUAAGAUCUGUGGUGAUUAUUGCAUAACUCCAUUGCAGUUAGUACGUGGAAGAAUGUUAUACUGGUCUGUGAUAGUCUACUGGGGUCCAUAUAAGUGAGUUUCCGUAAUUGUAUUAUAUUGCUCGAUCCAAAGCUCAUGAGUCUGCCAUUACUAGGUUAAUUUCUACUGGUUGGUUUUUUUUGUGGUUGGAACAUACUAUUGUUGAACUCAGGAGAUCAGUUGGGCAGAUCUGUAGUUUCUUUCCCGAGUCAAUUAUUCAUCUAGGCCUAUUAUAAAAGAUAAAUUUUGAGAAAGUUCAAUGUCUAGUUAGUUACCUGAAGUUAAGUAGAUUGCUGAAGUAUAAAAGUGACUUGGUGGACUAUAUACUGCCGUGGUUAAAAUUGGUAUUUGUCCAGUAUUAUUAGUGCUUCAACCAAGAUGGCUGUAGUUAACUUCUAAAUUAUUAUUUUUCCCAUUUUGCUAUUUGACCUUGGGGAGUUAUACGUUAUCAUGUUAUUAUUUGAGGAUUUAUAAGUCCACUCUCCACUCUCCACUCUCCAGUGUCCAGUCACUUCAUUAGUUCUUUACUGCUGUUAAAAUAGGGUGUAUUGAUGGGUUUUUUAUGCAAAAUCCUGCAGGGAAGGUGUUAUGAAAGAUAGAAGUGGAAUUACGGCCAGUAGAAGCAGUCAAAUAUGUGAAGAAGAUAGACAUGACUGCAGAAUUAUCACUUAGAUUAAAAAACAGUUGGUUCGGACUUACUUCGUGUAUAAAUGUCCUGCUGCUCUUUCGGUUUUUGUAUUACGGAAGUUAUGUUCCAAAAACAUAAGCGUCUCCUAGAUUAUGUUGCGAACUGGUGAAACUCUUAUUGACAAAUAAAUUUAUAACAUUGUGUUCUUUCUUGGUGGCGCUCACAACUGUAAUUUGCAAGGCACUAGUGCGCCAAUAUUUUUUUGUUUUUCGAAUUCAAUAUCCAUAGUGACCAUAUGAUAGGUCAAGAAAACUGUGAUGAUCAUCACCUACUCUAUUAUCGAUUCCAUCAUUUGUAUUUUUUCCAUCACCUACUCUGUUCUCAUCAUCUUCUUGCGGAUAUAUUUCUUCUAUUUUUAUCGUGAGCAAACUUAUGAACCACAUAUAUUAUAUAACAUUUCAUAUCAUGUAAUAAUGUACUCAUUUUUUUUGAAAAGUAAAGGAUUUCAUUAACUGGGAAAAUCUUCAUGUAACAUCUCCAACAACAUAACUGGAGGAGAUAAAAAGAGAUUGCUGCUAUUUAGCAUACAAGGAACUCUUGCCAUCACAUGUGCAGAUUUAUUCGCCUGUCUCCUAACAUGGGAUAUGGAUAGAUCAGCUCGGCCUCUUAGAUUCUCUUUGCACUCGUCGAUUAUAUACCCUACCUCCAUCUGAUAACCCUCCUCAGAGUGAAGCGCUCGAACCACCUGCUGCGAGUCAGUCUCAAUGACCACCCGUCCUAACCCAGAGCUCUUAAUCAGUUUAAUCGCUUCAAGGACUCCUGUUGCCUCAGCUUCCAUCACUGAAACCUCACCUGCAAUCUUUAAGUUCUUGCCCAUUAUAAAGCGUCCUCCUUCAUCUCGCACUACCAGUCCCAGGUUAAACAUGCACUCACCUCUACGAAGAGAAGCAUCCACAUUUAUCUUAUACAUUCCUAUAUCAGGAGGCUGCCACUUUACCUCCGUGUCUGAUAGCCCUGAAUGCUCCUGAGGAACGUGACCCUUAAGUUUAUUAGCCUCCUGCCAGUCUCUCACCAUCUUUGAACUUAACUCCAUGCUGACUGUGGGGUUAAUAUCCUUGCCCUCCCAGACUUUUUUGUUUCGAGCAAACCAUAUACCUGAUAGCACAGUAGCCACCAUUUGAGAUGUUUCUGUGUUGUCCUUACUGAGCGUUUCCAGAAGCCACUCCGAAGCCGAUUCUAUAUUCUGCAAGUUAAUAUUCAUGCCUGCUUUAUUCCAGCAUUCAACCGCAAACGGGCACUCACAGAACAGAUGUCGUAAAUGUUCUACGUCUACUAGGCACAUAGGACACCCGAUCGUAACCAUCACCCCUUUACUCCUCAGCAGUUUCCUAACUGGAAUAAUGUUCCUGCAAAAUCUCCAGAGAAACACUCUAGUUUUGUGAGGAACUGGCAGAUUCCACAGUUUGUUCCACCCUGACGAGUCAAUCACAUCUUCGCUUCCUUCGUUGUUUCUUUCCCAGAAUCUAUAUCCUGAUUUAACAGUGUAAAUUCCUCGAUGAGAACCUGUCCAAGCUAGUCUGUCCUUAACAUCAAUCUGCGGGAUCCUCGUUUGGAGAAUCAACUUGCUGUCUUCAUCAUGAAAAUCAUGUUCGACCUUAUGCACAUCCCAGACUUUGCUAUCAGGAUGGAAGUACGAACAAACUUUUUCAUUCCUAAGAAAAUUCUGAUGAUUGUCCUCCACUCGGAAAUCCACUUUACCUUGUAACCAAGGAUCCUUGAAAAUGCUGAUCUCCUUACCAUCUCCUAGAACCCAUCUAUACCCCUGUUUCAUCUGUUCUUUGGCCUCCCAAAUACCCGUCCAGAUGAAGCUUGGAUCCACCCCUCUACUGGCUUGAAGAAUAUGUUUAUCCCGGAAGUAUCGUUCUUUAAAGAUGCGAGCUACAAGAGUAUCUGGUCUGCGACUAAAGUUCCAGAUAUGUUUCCCGAGUAGAGCCAGAUUAAACCCAUGAAGAUCCCGUACACCAAGCCCUCCUUUACUCUUUGAGAUAGCCAAUCUGUUCCAGGCCAUCCAACGUAAGCCUCUGUUGUUCUCUCCUUUCGAUCCCCACCAGUAACCAUUAAUCAACUUCUCAAUCUCAGAGCAUAGGGACUUUGGGAGUAAAAAACAAGACAUGCUAUAAGAAGGAAUGGAUUGAGCCACAUUUUUAAUCAUGAUCAUUUUACCAGCUUUCGACAACGUUUGAUUACUCCAGUCUUGAACUUUCCUCCAAACUCUCUCUUUAACAAACCCAAACACUGAUUUCUUUGAUCUCCCAAUUAGUGAAGGUAGCCCCAGAUACUUGCUGUCCCCAAGAUCGUUCUGAACUUCCAUAAUGUUUCUGAUCUCCUGCUGCUUGUCUCUCCGAACAUUAGCACUAAAGAAAAUACCAGAUUUUUGAUAAUUCACUACCUGACCCGACUCACAACCAUACGCAUUCAGAAUUUUUUUCACCUCCCUCGCUUCCUCUCCAUUUGCUUUGAAAAAUAAGAAACUAUCAUCUGCAAAUAGUAGAUGUGUAACCUGGGGAGCUUCUGGACAUAUCCUACAACCACUUAUGAGGCCAUCAGUAGCAGCCUUGGUAAGCUUGGAAGACAGAUCAUCUACACAGAAAAGAAAUAGGUAGGGAGAUAACGGGUCUCCUUGCCUUAGCCCUCUCCUCGGUUUUAUUGGCCCAACCAUACUCCCAUUGAAAGCUACAGAAUAGUUUACUGUCGUGACGCAAAGCAUUAUCCACUUAAUCCAGGUGUCAUUAAACCCCAUAGUUCUCAUUCUUUUCUUCAAAAAGAAUAUCAUUAAUGAUUUUUUUUGACAAUGCAGGCUUAUAUGCCUUACAACUUAACAUCUGUUCUAAUAAUUCUCGGGGUGAGCCAAAGUCAAACCCGGGUGUUCCGGGUCAACAGAGGAUAAACCCACCACUAGGCUAUCCAAUCGUGCUCUACUCAUUAAUGAUUUAAUCUAAUGCAAGUGCAUUUUAUCUCAAAGAAAACAAACUAAAAACAUAUUCUUGAACUGAAUAUCAAUAUAUUUAUAUAAAGGAGAAGAGAGGGAUGUUUGAUUCAUCACACAUCCAGGCUCGAGAAGAAGACUUCCGUGCCUUACUUUCGAUUUUUAAUUUGUGUUCUCUAGCCUCUAGCGGCUAGCCAUCUUCCGCUUGUACAAGUAUCAAAACGCUACAUGAUGUAGCGUUUACCUCUACUUUUUCUGUAAUAGUAUAUAGCUUGCUCCUACUAGGUUAUACACACAACUCAUUUUCACAGCUUGGGGAUAUAAUCUGCACUUGUUAACAUUGACUACAGACAAGUGACUUGUAAUGAGAGUUUGAAGUGAAGGUUACAAAAAUGUAGUCAGCCACAAGAACUCAUGAACCCUUGGAAAUAUUGUCACCUUAUCAUGAAAUGCAAUUGUUUUAAACAAUUUCAUCCUCUACAAGUUGUGAGCCAAACGAACUCGUAAAUGACAAUUAUUUCCAGAACUCGAGAAUUGUAUAGUCCACAAAUUUGUGAAAAACCAUAACAAGAGAUAAGUCCAUAUCAUUUCUAGAGAGCUGAUAUUUAGCAGUACAAAUAUCCAGAGAACUGGUACUGCACAAAACCUGCAUUCGGAACUACAUAUAAAACAUUGAAUAGGAUGGAGAUGUACUCGAUCUGGCCAUGUGUUUCUUAAGACUAAAACCUACUAUCUCAUUAUAAAUCAUCUCCAGAUAAUAAAAUGUGCAUAUAGGAAGAGAUAUGACUUAACUUCAUCAACUUGAAGUGAUGAAUAACAGAACUGUUGAUGUUGCAGUUCAGGCUCUUGCUUGACCCAAGCAUAAACUACUAAACUAGUUUAUGUGGAAGGUUACUUGCUCCUAAACUACCAGAAUUUCAAUGCAUUACUAUAUUGGCAAUCGAUAGAAAUAAAUCAAGCCAAGAUCUUAUUGCUCUAUGUCCUGAAAUACAGUUUCCUCUUUCUAAUUCUUUUACCAUAAUAUAUAGAUUGAUAAUAAAAACACAAUAAAUACACUCCAAGAACAAACAAGACAAAUUAGAGAAAGUUUGUCCACCACAACAAAAUGUUAAUUAAACAUAUCCAAGGGUUUUUAACAAAAGGUGAUCAACUUUUACGCUAAUUAGAAGAACUGAUACAUGAAAACCUCCAUGCUAAGUCAUUAUAAAAAGGGUAAUAACUAUUUCAUACAUAUGACAUUUCUUAAAUCCUUGAUUUUGUCAUCUAUGUAAACUGGCAGAAGAAGGAUAUGCAAAGUCCAAGUCCCUAGAACAUAUUACUACUGAAUCAUCUUAAACUUGAAAGGACAAUGUUGUGUGUGUCCACAUGUACGCAUUUGAGUAAAACCUUCGACUCAGCAAUGAUGAUUUCCAACACGGGCAACACCUAGUCCAUCUUUUCACAGCUUUUGCUGAAUUACUUGUAUUUCAGCGAUCAUUGAAGCCUCUACUUGGUUUAUACUUUCUAGCUUACUAUGUUUUAUCUUUUAAAAUAUCAGUAGUCUUAACCAAAAAUACAAAGAUGGCCAGAUACACAAGGUCCAGCUAAUACACAUCCAAGAGACAUGUAUAUGCUAUUCUAGUAGUAGCACUUAACAGAGUAAAAAAUGCUGGAAAAUUCCACCAAACAAAUCUUCUCUUUAAAAAAAAUUAAUAGUAGUUGCAUAUUACCAACAUCAAAAAAGAAAAUAAACAUAACAAUUUUAAAAGGACAACUCUUGGCUUUUCAAAUGACUAAUCCAGACAUCAUCUGCACUCAGAUGCCAACUUCAGCAGCCCUAUGUGGUUUAUUCUUCCUCCUGCUCCCAUUAUGCCUGAAUCCAACCGGCUUCACAGAAUCAUUAGUUUUAUUUUUAAGAUCAGCACCACUUUCUUUAACCUAUACAUGAUUUUCAUUAAUGUCUGAAGUCCUUCUUCUCUUUCUACCACUCUCAAUUACAGACGAUGCAUUGAUAAGUUCGUCCGACAAGAUAAUAUCAGUAUUCUCCACUUCAUCAAAGUCCUCAGCUUCUUUUUGUAGAAUGUCAUUCUUCACCAUCUUUAGUGGCCUUCCUCUUUUCUCAACUGAUUACUUUUCUUCCUCACCGCUACCUUGAUCUUCACGAGCUGCUAUCAAAGUCUGUUUCCUCCCCUUCACUCUGCUUUUGCCUACUGUAGAACCACCCAAAAGAAAAAACAACAAAAACACCUAGAAAAGGGGAUCUGCAACAGGUAACAUACAUAAACCUAAAGACCUUAGCUAAUACCAGAGCAUUCAUUUUUAUAAAUAUGACGAAAAAUACCAAGAAAUGAAGCAAAAGAAAUACCAUACAAUAGAUUAACCACACUCAUCAACAUCGUAAACACACAAGGAUAGAAGCAGAAAAUAUGAAACAGUAAAACUGCAUUACCAAACAUCGUGGAAAGUUUGAGUAAUGACUAGUGACAAGUAUGACCAUAAUUAAGAUAAGAAAUCUACUCACAUUAAUGUUAUAUAAGAAUGAAGACGAGAUCGAGAAGCUAACAAAUUAGUGUAUUAAGGUAUACAAAUUGCCACCAGGAAAAUGACAUCAUUAUACAGCCAAAAUUAAAAACUUUAUGUAACUAAUCUGAUUCAGACUCAUAAAACACUGAGACAAUUGACAUAGCAAACUAAAACUAAAGGGAAAAUGAUAAAAUGAGAUUUAUUCAAUCAAAUCUACAGGAUCAAGAAGAUCAGUGUCAAAAAUCAAAUCAAGUAGUAUCAAAUAGUUGAAAUUUAGAAUGGAAAAGAAACAUAAACUUGAAAGAGUUGUUUAGACAAAUUGGAUAAAGAAACCAAGUAACAAGCAAACAAUAUAACAGUAAGAAGAAGGGAGGGGGUCUAACAAGACAUUUAUUUAUAAACAAAAGGUCAAGAUCCAACACGCAACAACAUAUUCCAUUUCACAUGAACAGCCAAAUCCUUGAUUCCAUAGUAUCUUCUGAUUUAUUUAUACCAGUAAAAUCAGAAAAUUUAACAUUUCAUAGGUGUAAAAUGUCAAAGUCUAUACACAAGUCCAGUGAGGAAACAAGAACUAGAAAUACGCGUCAUGACAAAAUGAAAACUAAGAUUCAUUACAGGGGGAAGUUACCUGUAAUCACUCGUGCUUCUGAACUCAACUCUAUAGUUGUAGUCGGGAAGAGGGUAGGCAUGCAUAUUUUUGUCUCGAAGGUUUCAACACUUUUCCUAUCAGUCUCAGCAAGCAGGGAAGCUUCAAAAGUGAUAAGGUAACUUGGAACACUGGAAUCAAGUUUUACUAGCUGGAGAACUUUGAGCGACUCAAUGUCGUGCUUUGCAACACGAAAUUGUUUCAACUGUAUUUGUAAUUUCAAAAAGAUUCUUCAGAUAAUAACAAUUAAUGGGAUUUUUUAAUAAAAAAACAAAAAGAUUUACUUAUGUGUAGUAGAGAAUGAAAGACGGACCACGAAGACGUCAUGGCUAACAAGAGCAAACUGGGAGAGAUAAAGGGCUAAAUUAUAUUGAGAAUCCAAUCCCGAGUCCUGCAGUGAUCAGACAUUCAAAUAUAUGAAUAGUAUAUAUACGUGCAAAUAAAAAGGAAAGUAAAUCCAAGGGUAAAACUUUAAAGGAGCACGUAAACAUACGGUGGUAUAUGUACUGAUGACUCGAGAGAGGAGGGCGCCUUCUUCAACGACAGCAAUGUGAUCCAAAUCAGAAGGCUGGGAGUUGUUGUAAUCUGGUUUGAUCCUAACAAACAAAAUCUGAAUCUGGUGACACGGGUGGUAAAAAACAAUUAUUUUAGUUUGGAAGGUAACGGAACCCCCCGAAUUCGUUUCAGCUUCAAAAGUAACAUAUUUAGUGUAAACCGGUGUGUUUUGUGCUGUUGCCAUGAGGACUUUGACAACAGAAAAGUUUGUACCCUGUAGGUAUGCAUAAUAACAAAAUGAGUUACAAGUAUAAUAAAAUUUAAUACCGAAUAAUAUACAUUCUUGAUCCCAACAGGUCAGGUAUAUAUUAUCGGUUUUCAUAGUAUGUGCUGCUAGAAUUUUAUAAGUUUGACUAUUUUCAUUGGCUCUCAUAUCUUAAUAAUGAUGGACGCACCACACCAAUCAAAAUCUCUUAAACAUAUAAAAUUUCACGCUUAGCAUGGCCCAUGGGCACACACCAGACAAAGCCAUGUAUUAUAGACCAAAGCGACCAAUGGCAAUCUAACAGGAUAUCGAAAAAAACGCCGAAAACAUGAACAUACUAACCAUCCUUAUGUUGUAAAGGGCCAUAGCCAACCUAGAGUAACAGAGUAGUUGCACAAGUUCAACGGGUCUACAAUUCUUAGAGGACCGUGAGAUAUCAUAAACUUUAGCGACAAAUGAACCACCAGUACAAAAUUGUAAGCGAUCACCAGGAUAUUGCGGAUAGUGUAUCCAAGGUUCAGGAUAGUCUCCGAGCUCAAAAUUCUACACAACAUACGCAUAUAAACACAAAAUUAAACAACACGAAAUUGAAAUCAUAGAGAAUGAGCCCGCAAGGGUUGGUUCAGCUGGUUAAAGAGGGGAUUUGUAUCCUCUUGAUCACAGGUUCGAUUUAGCUCGGUUCACGUGGUUUGCAGGCUAUUACGUGAGCUCGUGGUUUACCCAGUGCACACCUAAACCAGUGCGCACCCAAAGGGUAGCGGCUGCGGGUUCCUACGUUAAAAAAAAAAAAUCAUAGAGAAUGAUUAUAAUAAAUUCACAUACUUGGCUCCUCUUCAGGUCUUUGGAGUAACUGCCGCUAUUAUCCUCAUCCUCUAAUCUACGCUUCCCUUUAUCGGAAGAAGAUUCUGAUUUGGUUUUCAUCCUCGAACCCUGAUUAUCUUCUGCCAUUCUAGUUUUCUUUGGGUUGGGGGAGUUUCCGCUACCGCGGGCUUCUGUUUUGUUACUGUCUUUUUGGAUUUUAAUGGAUUUUUUUUAUCAAUGAAUUUUAGCGAAUUAUACGUGAUUUUGUGCUCAUUGUUAUAAAAUGUCGAGGUAAUUGCAUGUCGUACCUUCUAAGUAUCAUUCAAAAAUGAUAUGGUAUAUAUAUUUUGAGAAACUCAACUCGCGCCCCUUAUCUUUAUAGUUUAAAUCCGAGAUGCAUCCCUUUGUUGUUAACUCUGUUAACUUUUUGCACUCCGUUAAGUCAUUGUACAUGUAAUUACAAUUCAGACCUCCUAACUUACGUUCAAAAACGAUAUUGUACCCAUACUUUUGGAAACUCAAAUCGCACCACCUAUCUUAACAUUUCAAGAACGAUACGCACCACCUAUCUUAACAUUUCUUGAAAUGUAAAGAUAGGUGGUGCGAUUUGGGUUUCCAAAAGUAUGAGUACAAUAUCGUUUUUGAACGUAAGUUAAAGGGUCCGAAUUAUAAUUACAUGUACAAUGACUUAACGGAGUGCAAAGAGUUAACAGAGUUAACGGCAAAUGAGUGCAUCUCGGGUUUAAACUAUAAAGAUAAGGGGUGCGAGUUGAGUUUCUCAAAGCAUAGGUAUCAUAUCAUUUUUGAACGAUACUUAGGGGGUGCAAUAUGCAAUUACCUCUAAAAUGUCGUUGAUAUGAAUUCUUUAGAACUUGCAUAAUGCUUCAAAAUGAUUUUGAUGGAAUUUCAAAAAACUUAAAAUACACUGAGAAGUGCCACAAUAUUCAUCAUUUUAUGAAAUCCAAAAAAAUCCAUCAGGAUUUGAAUACCAUCACAUUGUAUUGGAUUUUAAACAAUCCCAGUUGAAUAUUAUUAGAUUUUAAAGUAUAAUUUAAAAUCAUAAUUGAAUACCACCAGAUUUUGUAGCAUAAUUUAAAAUCUCAAUUGAAUACAUUUAGAUUUUAAUGGAUUUUAAACAAUCUUAAUUCAAUACACUCGGAUUUCAUUAAUGCAAAAAAAUCCUUUAAAAUCCCAAUCCUACACACGUAUUAAUUUUAGUUGUUUAGAUGUUAUUCACAGAAUCUGAUUCAUAUUCAUUAUUUUGGUUUUACAUAAUAAUUAUUUUACUUUAUUUUGGUUAAAUUUUCAAAAAAUGAAUUUGCUAAUGAUAGUGAUUUUUAUCAUAGACUUUUAAAAUUUAAAUUUUGUUUCUAGACUGUUUAAAACAUAGAACUUAAAAAUUCUUCGAGCUAAGAAUGAAAUCAAAAAUAUUUCAAGCGAUCCAAAUUGCACCAACAUCCCAGUAAACAUUGACAUCACAAUUGAUCUUAUCACAUUAAAGCCAUUAUUAAACUUUUGUUCAGAAACUCUAAUCACAUAAGCUGAGAUUAGAGGAGUGGCAGCCCAGCUAUUGACAUGCUGGAUAUCAGCUAUAAACAUGUCGAAAGUGUAAGUUUCUAAUAGAUGAACAAUCUUUGGCUGUGAAAGGUGAGCUCUUACAAUAAUUGCUACCGGCUAAGAUUUGACGCGAGUUUUCCCAAUUCCAAAAAUAUCAAAAGAAUCAUUUUCAACAAACUUCAUAUCUAAAAAAUCCAAAUAUAACUAAAUAAAACAUUACGAAACACUCCAAAAAAUAGGCAAAACAACCACUUCAAAAAUAGAUACUCCCUCUGUCUCUCUCAUUUCUUUACGGUUAUUAUUUUGGGAUGUCCCUCUCAUUUCUUUACGUCACUAUAAAUAGUAAGUUUUUCCAUCAUUACACCCACUAUCUUCCUAUACUAUCUUGUAUUUAACAAUAAAAACCACUAUUACACCCACUACUUUUCUCCACUAUCUCAAAUCUAUUAUUAAAUAUUGAUAGAUCCCACCACUUUACCCACUUUUCAUCUAACUUUACUCAUUUUUCAUACAUUGUCUUGGUCUCCGUGCCCCCUCCAAUGUAAACAAUUGAGGGGGACGGAGGGAGUACACACAAACACCUAAAAAAUGGGUUGGGAGAAAAUCAACGAAAGCCCCUCACACUAAUUUGAAAGCUGCUCGAACUCUAAUUUUUGAGAUAAAGUGAGUAUCUUUAGGGGUGAACACGGGUCGGGUUGGGCGGGUUGGCGGUAAAAAUUCAACCCAACCCAAUAUAGUCGGUUUAUAAAAAUUUGAACCCGUUAACCCUUAAAAAUAUUUCCAACCCAACCCUAUUAUUCAUACGUCGGGUUGGGUUGGGUAGGGUCGGGUUUAUCGGGUUUUAUCCGAUCAAACUAAAAAUUCGAACAACACAAAAUUAUAAGGGUUGGUUGCAUUGUUUAUGUCCCUCCGUUUCCAGUUACUCGUGUUUAACUGUUUUCAGCUGCUUGUGCUUGAGUAUUUCUAGUUGCCAGUUUCCUUUCAGUUCUUCAUUUAGCUUUAGGAGUCAUGUCUCAGGGUGUUUAAGCUUCCGUCCUAGUCUGUUCUGCAUGCAUGUGUUUCUCUUAUGUCCUCCUACUACAAGGGGAGGUUUGUUUGCUUUAAUUUUUAAUAUAAUGCUGCUGUUCAAAAAAAAAAAGAAUGCAUACUGCUUGGUUAUUGAAUGUGCUGGUAUUACAGAAGUUAGAAGUUAGUCCAGGUAUCUAGCAAAGUAGUAGCACUGCUUCUUGUAUUAAAAGUUUAACUUGUUAUGGCUCAUAUAAUUCUAAAAUUUUGAGCAUGGCUGAUAAUUGUGGAUAAUUAGGCUUUUUAGAUAUGUGAUUUAGGUUAAAAGUUUAUGAGUUGAGUUACGUUUGGACUGCUAUAAAUUUAAUAUUGAAUUAUACUAAUCUAAACGUGUUAGGGCGGGUUGGGUGGGGGUUAAUAAUUUAUAAACUCUUACCCAACCCAAUCUAUUCGGGUUUAUAAAAUUCAAACCCAAUUAUUUUUCGGUUUCGAACGGUUCGAUUUGAUCGACCGAAAUAAGGGACGGUUAGGGUCGGUUUGGCGGGUUAAUCGGUUUUUUGUUCACCCCUAAGUAUCUUAAUUAAAGAUUCCGACUUUCUGAAAUAAGCGCCUUGGACCCACUUUCAUCCUAACCUUCUCUAAUCUCUCUUUGACAAUCCACGAACACCAUCUUUGCAUUCUCAAUCUAUACGCACACGUUUCUAUGUAUCUCUCUUAUUCGAUAUAAAAUAAAAGCCCCGUCGUUCCAGAUCAUCACUUCGACGUCCCUUCUUCAGCUCAAGUAAUUUCAAUUUUGUCUUCAUGUAAAUAAUCCUUUAAUUGUUAAUUUCUUUUUCUUACUGUUAUUUGUUGCUCAUAUGGUGUAAAUGUUGAUUUUAUUUAAUAAAAAUGAGAUCUUUAUAUAUGGGCUGUUUUGUUUUUGCAGUUUUUGAGUUAAGGUGCUAGAAUUUGUUCAAAUUACAGAUACAGAUGUUUAGGGUUUUGGGUGUUUGAUUGAUUUUACUAAUGUGUAUUCAAUUGGUUGAAUUGUUAGUGUAACUAUGCGAGUCAAAAGACCCUUUUACUGAAUUUGAUAGGUGGGAGUUGACGAAUGGUGUGAUCGUGUUUUAUGCUGUUUUCAUUGCUUUAUUACUGUUUUAUUACGACGUCAAUGUUAUAGAUGUGAAAGUUAUAAGAUUAGUUUUUUUCGUUGCUUAGUAUGAAAUGGAGAUUAGUUGAGGUAUUGAGGUUGUGUUUUAUAAUGUUUUUCUCUUUGUUGAUUUUGCGCGACUGAUAUGGUGUCUAUGUGUGUGUUGCUAGGGCUGAGAUUUAUUGGUAAGUUAUUACGAGAGUCUUGCUAAAUUAGUUAUGAGGAGGUCGAGAUACCAUAAUGUUGCUAAUCAAGGUUUUGAUGAGUGGACAAUUACAAAGGCCCUCACUUUGUCUGAUGUUGAUGUCACUCAUCCAUUUCUCACUCUGCCUCGACAACCUGUUGAAAACUAUGUGCUUGUGCAUUUGACGCAACGAGAACAGGAUAUGUUAAUGAAUAAAGAGCAAGUAACCAUUAAUGCUAAAGAUGAGGAUACUGGUGAAGUUCAUUUGAUGAAGCUAAAAUGGCGUGGGAGUUACUAUAAUCUUAUCGGGAAAUGGGGAAGUAUUGUUCGAGCUAAGAAUCUUGAGGUUGGGAGAGAGAUUAAAAUACGCUGGUUUAAUGGAUGCCUACACUUUUCUGUUCCAGAACAGCAGGUUCAGGCAGUGACACCAUUGCAGGAUGUUGCACCACCGCUACUUCAUGACCACUGGCCUAUUACAAAGGUUUUGACAUUAUCCGGUGUCGAUACUAAUCAUCCAUUUCUCCCUUUGGCACGCAGAUCAGUUGAAGAUCAUAUUCUUGUUUAUUGGAGUCAUCAACAACGAGAGCUUCUAAGAAACGAGGAGCAAGUUAAUAUAAAUGCUCGGGAUGUUGAUACAGGGGAUACGUAUGUUAUGACCUUGAGGUGGCGUGGAAAUUAUUAUAACCUAUUCGGGAAAUGGGAAAAGAUAUUACAGCAUAAGGGACAAGGUGUCGGAAAAGAAAUAAAGAUACGUUGGGGUAACGGAUGCUUAAACUUUUUAGUUCCAUAUGAACGUAAUGUUGUGUUACUACAGGGACAGGACAUGUGGCCUAUUAAGAAAGCACUAACUUUGUCUGAUGUAGACACCAAUCAUCCAUUUCUCACUUUGCCUGGAAAAGCUGUUGAGGAUCAUAUUCUCUUUUACUGGACAGUGCAAGCACGGGAACAGUUGAGAAACACACGCCAAGUUGAUAUAAGUGUUCGAGAUGAUGACACUGGUGUUUUGUAUCAAAUGAAGUUGAAAUUUCGUGGGAGUUACUACAAUCUUAUUGGCAAAUGGGGACAAAUCAUUAGAGGGAAGAUGCUCCAUGUUGGGAGGGAGAUUAGAGUACGCUGGGACAAUGAAUGCUUAUGCUUUUCAGUUCCAUAGCAUAUCUGUAUUCAGGCUGUAUAGGUAGGAAUUCUAAUCUUUUUUGUUGCCAUUUCUUUAAACUUUAUCUAUAGAUAGGUUUUCUUGCAUAACUGCAACCUUUUGUUUGCAUAGGGCCAUGAAGAUUCAAAAUCACAAAUGUUUUGUUAAAGCCUUGUAGUCCUCUCCAUAGUAUAUUAAAUUUUUACAAUUUCAAGAACCAAACAGAAAUGUAGCAUGAGAUAUCUUGUACUUCUACUCUUACCAUUGUUUCAAAAUAUUCACCUCUCUCCUUUUUCCCACUCUUUCCCUCCUUUCUCCCUCNAUAUAGUGUUAUAAUAAUAAUAGGGAAUAGGGAAUGUUGUUGGAGUUCCCAUUCAAUAAUAUGUAGUAAUCCCUUAAAAAAUGCAUAUUUUAUUAUAUAUAGGGUACCUGUUAGGAUUCUGCUGGAGAUGCUCUUACAAAAGAGUAUAUUAGAUUUAGUAGAUUAAUAACUGUGCUUAAGGUGACCGUGCUCAAGGGCGCUGGCCUUUUUUCACAAUGUGUGUCAAUAGUAUUCAAGUAAACAAGUACUUGCUAAUCACUCAGCUGUCCUGUUUUAAAUAGAAAAGAUAGGUGCUUAACCUAAAGAAUUUCAUCUUUUUUCUCUAUACAAGAUCAAAUGACUAUCCGUUACAAAGCGAUCCUUCUAGUGCUAGGUUUUUUUUUUCAAUGUUAGAAGUGGAAUUUGUGCUGUUUAUUGGCCAUCUACACGAUUAUGUUUUAGUGAUAGCGUCAUGACAUUUGAUAAGGGUUGGCAUUGUAGACUACUCUAUGUUCUCUAUUAGGUGUGGUUAACAUUGCAAUUAGUUGGUAUUUUUGCAGUGAGUGUAAGAUGGCAAAAAGAGCUACUUGCGGGUGUGGAAAUUGAUACUAGCCAGCCACCAUAUGUUGUCAAAGUCAGUUGUAUGACCUAACAGGAGUACCUCCCGAAAGACAGAAGAUUAUGGUGAAAGGUGGUUUAUUAAAGGUGAUUUGAUAUGUUAAAACAACAAAAUGGUCAAUACUAUGUAACACUUUGUUAUGCUCUACCAAGUUCUGUUAGCUAGAUUUCAUGGCUUAAUCUCUCGGUUGUUAAUAUGUAUUAAUUUCAUUGACAAUGUAGGAUGAUGCCGAUUGGUCAAAAUUAGGGGUAAAAGAGGUAGGUAAAUAGACUCUCGACAUAUAUGCUUCAUGCACUUGAACACUUGGAGGGCAGCCGACACAUCUUAGCUGUGCACCAGACAGCUCAUGUUAAUCUAGCCGACUUUAAUCAUUCAAAUAAUGCAUCUUUCUUGUAUAGGGCCAGAAGUUAAUGAUGAUGGGAACGGCAGAUGAGAUUGUGAAGGCACCUGAGAAGGGCCCUGUUUUUAUGGAGGACCUUCCAGAAGAAGAACAAGUUGUUGCGGUAAUGCCCUUUCUUGAAGAUAUCUACAGUUUUACUCCUUUCUCAUCCCUGUGUUUAUCUUCAUUACUUUCAGAUUAACCUCCUAAAAAUUGGAUAGCCACGAACUUCAAAAUUGUCUUUGCAGCAUUCAAUUUGAAAUUUGAAACUUGCUAAAAUCAAAAGAUUGGCUGCAAUAAAGAGUGAUCUAAAUUUGAUUGGUAAUUAUAAGUUGGCAAUUGGUCCCUAACCAUCGAUUGAUGGCAACAAUCUACCAGAAUUUUUUCGCAGCCUGAAGGUAGAAACCUUAAUAUGAGUAACAAAACUGCUGGUAGCUACUGUAGCUCCCUGCAUUUACAUAAAAAAUUUAGACUUAAUACCUUUUGGCUGAAAAAACCCACUGGUAGAUGGUUUCGUCAAUCACUUUUCAAAGACAUGGACCAGUACCCUAAUAAGUUUCUGCGACUCAUGAAGACUGUAGUUGGGCCAAGUACUUGUUUGUACGUGUUCUAAUGAAAAAGAGUUUGUCUGUUCUUAUAUACUAUCUGAGUUGGUCUGAUUCACUUAGUUUGAGUGUUAUAAUUAAGUUCAAUGUGUUGGGUUAUGCCUUAAUUUUCUGCCAAUUUGAAUUUAUUAUAUAUAAAGCCAGUUCUCAACUUAAUAAGCAUUGGACUUGUAUUCUUUUUAGUAAACAAGACGUUUUCUUCCAGGGUCAUUCUGCUGGCCUGUUUAAUCUGAAACAAGACGUCUUGUUUACUAAAAAUCUAUCUGCAGUUUUCUUGAGUGUAAGCUGCAAAAUUUUACGGAAGAUGUGAAGGCAGUUUCUCUGAGGUCCAAAUGCAGUUGUAGCAAAAUCUUAAUAUUAGUCAAUAAAUAUUUGGCAUUGGAAGUGUAAUAGUUUAUAGUUGAUAUUAUUUGUUAGGCUAACUUCAGAUGAUAUAAUCUACUUUAAAUAUGUUCCUAAUGACAUGUGUUCAGGUCCUAACCAUGUUUUAAACACCCCAAAGGUGGCUCAUAAUCUUGUUUAAUGUAGUUUGGCAGAUCUUGAAAUACUAGUUGAUAAUUUCUGAUGCUACAUUCAUUAGAUUUUAGUGUAUUAAGUGUCAUCACAUGGUACUUGCCGAUUGUUACUAUACCUGAUCAGUGAUCAACAAUCAGGUGUCACGAGGUUAUGGUGCGUUUAAGUCUAAUAUAUAAAACUUGAUUAGUUGUGUGUGAAUUUAAGUUGCACUGUCGUACAGUUCUCUCUCAUUAUAGCGUAUAUGUACUGUAGUUGGGUUCUUAUAGUAAACAACAUAGUGUCUGUGUAUGUCUACUAACAAUUCAAUUACACUUCCCAACCCCUGUCGGCUAGGGAGAAGGCAGUGCUUGUCAGUUUGAAGUUCAUACUGGCUGUGGUUACUGCUGAGCAAGUCUAUGGCAUGAUCCUCUUUGCAAAUAGUUUAUCAGAAAAGCCUUAGGAUAGAUGCAGCAGUCAUCUGGUUUUUCUGAUUAAACAUUUGAAAGACUCUGGAUGAUGUUUACCUGUUUCUGAAGCUGUUAAAGGUAUUCAGGCUGCUUUCCAUAAACUUUGGAGUUUGCACUGGGCUCUUUUUUUAAUGAUGGAAAUUGCACUGGAGUUGGUGUGGACAUCUUUGGAAUCUAGGAUAGCCGAUAUCGACAGUGAUUCUUAUCCCAUGUUGGAUGAGCCUAUAGUCAUAAACUGGUAUUUCCAUCUGUAGGUUUACUCUCAUCUAUGGCUUUAGAUAACACUAAGGGGUCGUUUGGUUCGCAGAGUGGUAUGGGUUUGGAAUGAGGAAUCGGGUUAAGGUGGUAUGGGUUUAAAGUAUCAUAUCUGAUAUCAUGUGUUUGGUUGAUUGCUGGAAUCAAUAUAUUUAACUUUUUUUUUAAAAUUAUAUUAAUUAUUUAUAUUAAUUAAAAUAUUAAUAAAAUUAUUAUUGUUAUGUAUUUUUGCAUUGUUGAUUAUUUUUAUAUUAAAUAUUAAUAUUUAAUUGUUUAAAUAGAGACAAAAAAAUAAAAUAUAAAACUGAUACCCAUACCCCCAUUUCAUACCCACCUCAUCCCUUGGGUAUCAAAAAUCAUACCUUGUGGGUUUAAGGAAUGGGUUUGAAAAUUUGUUUUCUUACAACCAAACACCAGGUAUGGGUUUAGAAUGGACGAAACCCAUACCUGAUUCCAGAUACCCCUCAACCAAACGACCCCUAAAGCUAUUUGUAGUCAAUCUUUGUUGAUUUCAUUUUGUCAAGUGUAAGAGCUUAGUGACAGUGACCAGAAUAAUAAGAAUGAGGAUCUCAAGAUGUUGCUGGAGGCAUAUUCAAGCAGUUAGAUGCACUCAGCAACAAGAUACUGUUACUGUUGCUGAGGAUCUUGAGAUACUGCUGAAGGCAUAUAUCUGCAAGUUUUUCCCGACGCUCUCUGGAUCAAUGAUACUUUGAUGACCCAUAUCAUAUAUACUCGAGUAUAGUUUGGUUAGAAGAAUCAUAUAUACUCACUUAGUCACUUUAAUACAAACUAAAGCAUGCUUUCCCAUUCAUAUAUCAACCUUGGCGGAAUUUGGAUGACUUAGAAGCUAAUAACAGCCCUGUUUAAUGUCCUAGGUAUUGACGACUAACUCAUUUUCCAUAGCUAUCAAGACUCCACAUAGCUGGGAUGCUAGGAAUGGACGUGGAUUUUCAACUAUUCCAUACAGACGGGGGAUUUUGGCUCAUUGGUCGGUAUUGUGUCAUCUUGUCCUGUGUAAUGAUGUUAAUGCUUGUUCUUGGAUAGUUGGAUUUGCCAAAGGGAAGAAGCUAGUUGGGUCUUGAGCACCUUGUAAUAUCUAGUAUAGCCUUAUAACAUCAGCUAAAGUGCAUACAAAUAAAUUAGCUUCUAGCUCAUUUGAAGUUUCUUUGGUUGCUUUAGAAGUGCUAUAGUGAAUCAAAUUUCCAUUAACAUCCAUCAAAACUGGUCUUUGUAACAUUUUUUAGUAUUGUCAUCUUUAAGUUAUUGGUUAUCUUUCUUGUGUACUCUCUCUUUAAGUGGCUUGGAAUUAUUUGGACAAUAAUUUGGUUUACUUUGUAAGGAUGAGGUAACUUUUUACUCUAGUCUAGUACUCUCUUUGUCCUAUAAUACUUUUCCUGUUUCUCUUUAUCACGCUUGCUGGCACACAUUUUUUAUCCUUAAUAUCUUUAAUUUCGUGUUAGUAUUAAAUAUAAAAGUACUCGUAAAUACGAAUUCAACAGGAUCACUAAUGAAUAUAUUUAAUCUUACUGAUUAGACGUAAAUUAGUAAUUUAUCUUAUGUUAUGAGCAGUUCCAACAUAUCAAACGAGAGAAGUAUAAAGAAACGGAGGGAGUAGCAGACAAUUUUUCGAGAAUAUUACAACAGGUCAGCAACUGGUCCAUGCCAACUAAGACCAGGGUCCCAGUUUAUGUAUUUUGUUGGCUAAUUAUUUUUGUUAUCAUUUAUUUAAUGCAGGAUUUUGUCUAGAAAGAUUGGAAAUCUCCUGGCCAGUUGUAUAAUGUUUCCACUUUACUCUUCCUACAACCAGUCUUGUCUCUCUUUUUCCAUUUUGUAAAACCUAUUGCAGGUAUAGAUGGAACUUUUUAUUUUUAUUUUUAUUUUUGAAUUGUCAGAACUUUCCUAGCUCUUUGGUUUAUUGUAAAAUGAUUGAAAUAUGAAUAGAGAGUCUGUGAAAUUAGGUCUACCUAUAGAUGAACUUUGCUUCUAAAGAUAAAAGAAGAAACUUGAGGUUCAAGAGUAAUAAUCAUUGCUUUUCAUGAAAAAAGUGUAGGUGCUUGAUAUUUACAUGUCCGUGUAAAAGUAGAAUUGCUUCUAAUUAUUUAUUCUUUUGGCUUCUUAACAAUUUUCAUUUUCUAUAUUCACAUAUAAUUAGAGUUAUAAUUCAACUUAUAAUUUAGAGAAGAUACUUAAUUAUUUUUUCAAAUAAAUUUUAUAUCAUCUUAUAUUUGAAUUUUUAAAUUUUCUUUUUGAUUUUGAGUGCUUCAUUAUUUGUUACAUUGGUUAUGGUUUGUUUGAUAGGAUUCUAGUUACUUAGAAUUAGUGUAGAGUACCCUUGAAAGGAAAACAAUAGUAGUUGGCAUGUUAAUAGUGACCCUAAUUUUUAAUUGGGAGAAAUUUGUUUUCAUACGGUCAAAGUAAAAAAGAAAAUACAACAAAAAUCAAAGGUUCAAAAAUAUCAAAACUGAUUAGGGUUUGGGUUUUAAAGUCAGGCUUCUAAAAUUGGGGUUGUGGCUAUUACAUUUCCUUUAUUUCAAUAUUUAUUCCCUUGAUUAAUUACACUCGUUCUCUCUGUCAUCAUCUCUUUAAUUUAUCAGUUUUUUAAUAAAAUCUAAAUCAAAUAUUUUUUGGGUGAAUUCUUGUUCACUAUCUUAUUAUCAAGAUUGGUUUUUUUUUUAUCAAACUAUUUUAUAGUCAUAGUAUCUGUUCGAUGUCUAAAUUUUGAUAUAGGUGAGAAUCGAACCCGAGACCUCGGGGACGACUGAUGUAUAAUUUUUAUCACUUGAGCUACUCUCAACCUAUUAUUAUUAUCAAGAUUGUUAACCGUGUUUAUUUUUAUGGAUAUUAUUGUAUUAUGAUAUUUUUGUUAUGAAUUUCAGUAAUUUUUAAGGACUUGCAUCAUAAUUUGGCUUAUCGGUAAGACUUGCAUCAAAUAUGAGACAACAGUGAUUAUCGUAAGAGAUCACCUUUGACAAUAGAAAAACUAUUCAUAUAUCUGGAGGUAGGGAUAGUCAAUCGGUCGGUAUGGUUCAGUUUUAAUAAAAACAAAACCCGAACCGAAUAGUGUUUUUCAAAAUCAAAUCUAAACCGAAUUAAAUCAAAACCCGAAGUUCAAAAACCCGCCCCGAAUCAUCAGUUUUCUAUUCGAUUCGGUUUUGAACGAAACCGUAAAAUUAUAUAAAGAAUACCAAAAAAAUAUGUCUAAAAUAUAGGUUCAUAAACAAGUCUUUAUUCAAAAAUUAACAUAUUCUCAAAUUAUUACAAACAUAUUAUGAUAUUCAUGAUUAAAUUAGUGAUUAAAAUAUUUCGUAAUUAGAAAAGAAGUUUCAUGUUUUUUUUUGAAGUUUUAGUUAAGUGUUAUUAAUUCAUCUUUUUAAAAAUCUUUUAUUAAUUCAGCUAUUAAAAAUAAAUGUAGGUUAUUGUUAUACACAAGAAACUAAAGCAUUAUGUUCUUAUAUAAAAUUUUAUGGAUUUUAUGUUAUUUGUUUGGUUAAACAAAAAUUUUGAUGAUACUUUUUUUAGAAAAAUUAUUUUUAUAAAUAAAAUUAUAUUAUAUUCAAUGAGUUAAGUUUCAUGUAGUCCACAUAUUUACUGUAGUACCGUAGAUCACGUAUGUUCUGCAACUUUAGAAUGUCAUAAAAACAUUGCAAAAUGUAUGAAACUUGUUAUUUUGUGAAAUACAUUCUAUAAAUAUCACUAUUUCAUGAAAAAUAUUGAAAAUCAUUUAUGUUCGACAGGUAGAACACAUAUGUUCUGUAAUAUGUAAAUAUGUACUACAAACUUAACAUGUUUUGCAGAAUAAUGUAUUUUUCACUAUUUAACUUGUAGAAUGUUUAGGAUUGUCAAAAUUUUUAACAAAAUAAUGAUGUUUAUAGAACAUGAUUUGCAACAUAACAUAUUUUAUAAUCUUUUUAUGUCAUUCUAUAGUUGCAGAACAUACGUGGUCUACGAUACUACAGUAAAUAUGUGGACUACAUGGAACUUUGUUCGAUAUUCAAUAUUUGAAUACAUGAUGAAAAAUGAUUAAAAGAAGAUAGCAAUAUAAUUAUUCUUUUUUACACAUAUCUUGUUAUCUUAUGAUAAUGAAUAUUUUUAUAUAAAUAUUAUAUAUAUAUUGUAUAAUGGUAUACGAUAAAUUUAUAAACUGGAUUCGAUUUGAUUCAAAUUCGAAUCAAGUUUCGGAUAUUCAGGUCGAUAUUGAUUCGGUUGGCCUAAAAACCAAACCAUAAAAAUAGGUUCGGUAAAUAUCAUUCAGACCGAUUCAUUCGGAUAUGUGUCGAUCGGAAAAUUUUGUCAUCUCAAUUUUGGGAUAUUUGUUCCUCAAAUAUUAGUUGAUCUAACUAAUAAAGGAGUUGGUCCUUAGCAUACAUAUGUUAAGGAGCGCCUGCCCAACACACUGGUUCAUGGCCGUUGGAUGAAUAUCUGGCGGUCAGGAUUAUAACCUAUCGUCCAACGCUUUUUACGUGCAUGAUAGGUUAGUCCACCGCUUUUUAAGCGUUGGGCGUUAGACAUAUUAAAUUUUUGUUAUAAUCCUGCCCGUUGAAUAUUCAUCCAACGGCCAGGAAGCUGUGUGUUGGAUAAGCGAUCCUGUCAUACGUAUGCCAGGACCUCGAUCCAACUAAUAAAUUGUUCUAAAUAUUGGUUUGCAAAUUGGUGUUCAUGUGAGGGUCAGUUGCGAUAUUGCUAUGCUCAUAACUGAUGUAAAUUAGUCAGUUGCGAUAUUGCUAUGCUCAUAACUGAUGUAAAUUAGAUUGUUCAAGAUAUCAUUACAAUAUUUUCUAGAUUAAAGAAUUUUGAAAUUUCAUGUGUUACAAUUCAAAAACAAAGCAUAUGUUUGUUUAGCUCCUUUCUUAUUGCAUAAUGAGGUUAUAGUUGGAAGUUCAAAAUUUUAUCUCAAUUGAGUUUUUAGUAUUUUAAUGAAUUCUUCCUCUUUUGUAAAAAAAUGUCAAAACUUUGUCAAAACAUUAAUUACUUUUUUUACAUAAUUAAAAUUUUUAAUCCAUCUCUUCUGUUCAAAUUCAUCAAAGUUAUAAAUAUCAUUCCCGUCUUGCUAACAGUAAGGUUGAAAUUAAUGUUUCGAUGAAUACAUGUGUAUUUUUUUCAUUCAAGAUAAUAUUUUACUAGAAAAUAUGAUUUACUAAAUUUUUAUGACGUAAUUUAUAUUAAUUUUAAAAAAAUAUCCCUAAAUUAUAUCCAGCUCACGAACUCAAUUACGCAAGAACUAUACAUUCGAAAUAAAAUGUUAAAUUUUAAUUAAUUUGAUAACAAUAUAUCGCAAAAAGAUAUUUUACAUAACCAAUUUUUUUUUUCAACAUUGAUAAUAAAUCUCAAAAAUCUUGCGAGAAUAAAGUUGGCAAAACCUAAAGAAAAGAGGCACAAAAAGAAUAAUAAAAACAUCCCAUUUGGGUUGUCAAUCCAACAACCCAACUGUGUCUCCAAAGAGAGAGAGAGAAACCCAAUUCUAGAGAGAGAAACCAACCUAUACUUACACACAUAUAUAAGCCCUAGGAGAGAGAAACUGAGCUUCAACUUUCACUCUUCAUCUCACAUUGUAUUCAAAGAUCUCACCUUUACAAUCGUCUUCUACACAAGGUCAGCUCAAUUCAUCUUUUUCAAUCAGUUUAUUUGAAUGUUUGAUUUUCUUGAUGAUGGGUUUUUGAUUUGGAUGAUAAUUAGUGAUUUUGUUACUAAUUGAGGUGAUUUUACUGCAAAAGAUUGAAUUUUUACUGUGGUAAUUAUGUUUUUAUGGGGUGAUCAUUGUGCUUGAUUGAUGAUUGUGUUUUUUUAAGUGUUGGUGCUUUAUUUAGUUUUGUAAGGUGUUGAUUUUGUUCAAAUUGGGAAUAGUUUGUCUCUUAUAGUUAGGGUAAUACAUAGUAGAUGGUUGUUUUUGUAUGUUUUAGAAGUGUCACAACUCCCAACUGGUUAAGUAUUCUAAAUUAGUAUGUACCUGGAAAAGUUAGCGUUUUUACGAUGAUGAGUAUGCACUCAGUAUGAUCUUCAGAGGUUGGUAUGUAUAUGUGGGUUUUGUCUUUUAAGCGUAUUUAUUGUACUACAUGGUGGGUAUAUACUUCUAAGAAAUAUAACGACUGAUCUGAGUACUUUAGUAAAAUAGGCGACUGUGAUGCACUGUUCAAAUGUGUGAGCAUUUUCAAGUGUUAGAGUAUAUACAUGAUAUAAUCUUUGUGGGUUAGGGAAUUUAUGGGAUCUACUAAUACAUCUCUGUUGGUUCUUUGUGAAAAAAGUAAUCCGUCACACGAGUAGUUUAUGUUUUUCAAGUUUUAAUUUGUUUUUGUCAGCUUUAUCAAUAGUGAUAAUAAUAAUGGUAUUAUAGCAUAUGACAUUUGAAUCUCCAUUCUGAACCACUUCCCUAUCUCAGAAUUAAGAUGUGCUGUAUUCUAGUUUUCUUUGCUUGUUAUCAGUUUAUACAUUUGCUUUCCUAUAGUAAUGCUUCAAUUAUUUUGUAUAAUUUACUAGGAACCGUCUUUUGCUAGGAAAUGGCGAAUUCAAAGGGGCCAUCGAGCUUCAGAAGUAUGAUGCACAAUGGAAAGCAUUCUCUACUGCCUCCUAAAAGUCCGUUCCCCAGUAUUACCCCUUCAUAUGUUGAUUAUGUUCCUAGUCCUGCUAUUGGAGUAAAAGGUAUGCCAAAGCCUAGAGAUGGAAACUCUUACCAUCAGCGCACUUCAUCUGAGAGCGUUCUGAUAGAGGACCAACCUUCUUGGUUGGAUGAGCUUCUUAAUGAGCCAGAAACACCAGUUGGCAGAGGUCAUCGCCGAUCAUCCAGCGACUCUUUUGCAUAUACUGAUGCACUUAGUGCUGCUAACAUUAGUUAUGCAGCUCAAAAUGAGUAUAGACCUAAAAACAUGACGACUAUUCAUUCAUGGAAAUCGCAAGACCUUGAUUUUUACAAAGAUGCACACAAUGCUUCAUUUUAUGCAGAUGCAAACUCGUUCAGCAAAAUCAAGAAUAGGUCUUGGAAUUCUCCUUCAUAUGUGAUGGCACAUCCAAGUGGGAACCUUUGUUCCAAGGACAAUUUUAUUCGUCAUAACUCAGUAUCAGAAUGUGCUUCCCAUGAAGCUGAUCAAUUUCCAUCUAAUGCCGAAAAGCUAAAUACCCCUGAAUCUGGUUCACAUGAUGCUAAAGCCUCUUCAGAGAGAAAGGAUCUAUCUUAUGCUAGAACUCCUGCAUCCGAAACCGACACAAAGCGUGCAAAACAGUAUGUUUAUUCUACUUUCUUGUUCUUGAUAUCAUCUCACUCUUUAAUUGUUGCCCUCGACACUAAUCAGGUAAACAUGAGAUGGUAAAAUCUGGCACCCGUAAGACCAAGUUUUUGUAGUAUGCAUACAUCACAAGUUCUUUCUUAAGGAAAAUAUGAUAAGUUAACGAAUGAUUGCAGGCAAUUUGCUCAACGCUCCCGUGUUCGAAAGCUACAAUACAUAGCAGAACUGGAAAGGAAUGUACAGGCAUUGCAGGCAAGUGUAGGAAAGACUUAAUAAAUUUUUUAUUUUCAUCAAGAAUAUGUUCUGAACAUAGUCCAGUGACCACAGGCAGAAGGCUCUGAAGUUUCUGCUGAACUUGAAUUUCUUAAUCAGCAAAACCUUAUUCUGAGUAUGGAAAACAAAGCUCUGAAGCAACGAUUGGAGAAUCUCACCCAAGAGCAGCUUAUUAAGUACUGUGAGUAUAUAGACCCAUCUAUUUUGAUUUUUGACAACUAGAUACCUACUUCUAUUGCUUUGCACUUUUGCCAUUUAUGUGAAAAUAAACUCAUUUAACUGCUUAAGGGAGAGUUGGACUUGUGUAUUGAAAUCUUUAUAUUUUAAAUAUUAUAAUAGUUCUGUUUCUAUAUAACUUAUGAAGCAUGACAUAACUUUUGAUUAAAAGUCUCGAAUUUCCUUCUGAAUGUCUCACAUAACUUGCGGAACUCUAUUGAAAUAAGAGAAAAUAUCAUUUCAGCAUCACAUGUGAUAUUAUGCACAUCAGUGGUAUAAUAAAUCUGACAUUGUGUAACUGGCUGGCAUUAUGCCUCUGUGACCCCAACCCCUCAAUUUGCCUCAAGCACUGACACUCAGACAUGGGUGUGGACGUUCUGACACUUCUUUUAAGCUAAAACAUGUAAAAUAUUCAAAUUAUUGGUAGUCCAGCACUUGCACACUUAUCCAUUUAGGUCACUUCCAGCAGCACGCAGAUAAUAAAGCAUUAUGCUGUGGGAAUGUCGUAAAAUGCCUGAAACUGCAAAAAUAUGUCGACAUGGGUUAUGGACUUGAAUUAUCAUUGACAAAGAAUAAGAACUUAAAUCUUGAUGUAAAUGUUUUGUAUCUAUUGCUGACUCUUAUUAAAACUGUACAUUUUUUAUGUGCCAUAUAUCGAUUCAUAAUUACUACUCCCUCUGUCCCUUUAGGUUGUUUACAUUUUUGACACGCUUUUUAAGGUUCUUAUAAAGUACUCCCUCCGUCCCUUUUUAGUUGUCACAUUUGAUUUUGUGCCGGUCAAAUUGACUAAGAUUUAUUAAUAUUUUAUCAACUGACAAUUAAAAAAAAAUAUGUCACCGGAAAUAAUUUUAAGUCUACUUUAAGAUGCAAUUUUCAGUUUUUUAAAAUAAUAAAAGAGUGACUUAUAAUUUUUGGUCAAAACUUAGUCAAUUUGACCAACAAAAAUAGAAAUGUGACAACUAAAAAGGGACGGAGGAAGUAUAGUUUCAUAAAUUAUUUUAAACUUUUUUUCUUUCAAAAAAAUAAUGUUUAAGUUUUUAUUCAAAAAGAGAAAAUUUCAAAAAUAAGUUAUGAAACUCUAUUUUAUAUACACCUUAAAAUUCGUGCCAAACAGUGGAAAGAAACCGUAAAGAAAUGAGUGUGACGGAGGGAGUAGUUUAUUUAUUAGCCUUAUAUAUGUCUGAGCUAAAAGUUUUGAUGAAGUCGCAGAAUAUCAAUGUCCUUAAUUAUUUGGGUGUCAGUCUUAUAAUGAAUGUGUUUUGUUUUCUAUUUAAUGUUAGUAAUCACUUACGGAAUAGUUUGUUCUUAUUGGAAAGCCGUGCUAUGACUGUAAAUCACCACUUCGAAAUUUCAUUCUAAUUUAAUGGAAUCUGUUUUGUCUAUUAUCCAUCCACUGGUGUGUCUAUUAUCCACUGGUGUUCAAAUUGUCAACAUGCCUCAGAAUUUUUUUACUUACGGUUUCUAAAUAAAUGAUACCUUGACCAAUACCCAUGAGGUGUAUCAUGAGCCUACUCAGAAAGCAGAUUAGAAUUAAAUAGAACUUCCAGAAGGCAUGAAGUCGGUUUAAGAUAAUUGAUUAAAUAGACAAAACAGAAGUAAAAAAUGGGAUAAAGGAAUUGCGGAAAGUCUCUAGUAGAUAAGAAAGCGGAAGAAAGAAAAUCGUAUACAGAAAAAUAAAUAGGAGGAAGAGGAUUCAUAUGGACCGAGUUGAGUAAGAUAAAGACAAAAAUAUCUGGUAACUAGUAUUAUGAAAUUAUUGAGAUAGAGAAGGGUUGGUGUUCUUUGUUCUUGUGUCUUCAACUUCAUUCUUUCUUAAAGAUUGAAUGUUCUCUGUACGAUUUGCAACUAUUAGAAGCUGUUAAUAUUACCCCAGAACUAGAGAACUUAUUGUAUUUACUUAGACUACAUGUUGCUUAAAAGCAAUGAAGGCACACACCUCCAUAAGCUAAAUUCUCCUCAAUAUGUGCACCUCCGCGUGCUUUCCUUGUGCAUUACAUUUUGGUUGAAGAAUGUUAGUUGGCCACCCUGAACACAAUUUGUGAACAAAGUCAUGUUCGUUAAUCAUCAACACAGUUCCUCUUAAGGCUUGGUUUCACUCUGAUGGACAAUUAUUUGAUGAGUUGUUAUGAUGAGGAUAUAUAAUAGAAUUGUAGAUUUUGAGUUCUUUGCAUGCCUUUGACUCUGAGAAACUUUUAUUGUGUGCCUAUUUGUGUUGGCACCGCCACAUUAAGAGUCGUUAUUUUGUUACAUGCUAUGGGCAAACAUCUUAAUUUCUCUUGGGCUAGUUUUCUGUAUACAUGUUGUUUAAUAAUUGAUCACAUGAUUAUGUAUAUUCUUCAAUUUGUUUGGGCACUAAUAUGUUCUAUGCUUUUUUUAGUGGAACAUGAAGUACUGGAGAGGGAGAUUGAAAGGCUGCGGACCUUAUAUCAACAGCAGCAACAGCAACCACACCAGCAGCCUCCUCCCAGCCAUCAGCGUGCCAAAAGUCGGGAUCUUGAUUCUCAGUUUGCAAGCCUUUCCUUGAAACACAAGGACUCAAGUUCUGGUACUGAUUCCGUUGCUGGCCCGUUGAACAUCUAAUCUCAUAUACAUUGCUGGUGGUCGAUUUGCUUGCCUAAGAACUUCUCUAUGAUGCUUUCAUACCAAUCACCGAGUCCAAGUCAUUUCUGUAGAGUUUGGCUUGAGAAUAGAUCUUCCCAGGUGUAUUCACCUGUUUUUACACCUUUCUGAUUGGCCCUUAUCAUUUGGUUAUUUAUUCUACGUGGCCAUCCUUGUUGAUUUAGUAGAUCAUAUGCACCUGGUGAUCCGGCAGAUAGCUCACCGGAGGUGAAUACAUGAAAGCUUCAUCUGANAUCAUAUGCACCUGGUGAUCCGGCAGAUAGCUCACCGGAGGUGAAUACAUGAAAGCUUCAUCUGACUUGUAAGCUCAGUCAAAACUCUGAGAUUUUUUUUUUUGUUUAAUUUCUUCUUCUGUUGAGAUUUCAAGGAACUUUUAGGGUGCUUAAAGUUAUAUAUUACAGUUUCUCAAAAAAAAAAAAAAAAACCCAAAGAAAGUUAUGUGCGUCACUUGUAAUUCUUGUGUAAAUUAGCAAGCGUCGAUUGAUCCCUGCCCCCACAACUUGUGUUGCAAUUUGCAAAGUGAAUCUUUGGUCUAAUUAAAGUUGAUUGCUAGUAAUUUG
RNAcentral lists this long non-coding RNA (29201 nucleotides) under Daucus carota (carrot). RNAcentral describes it as "long non-coding RNA (DCAR_LNC006055)". The record is from RNAcentral. Lineage: Eukaryota; Viridiplantae; Streptophyta; Magnoliopsida; Apiales; Apiaceae.